CCUACGGGUGGCAGCAGUGGGGAAUAUUGCACAAUGGCCGAAAGCCUGAUGCAGCAACGUCGCGUGAGCGAUGAAGGUCCUCGGGUCGUUAAGCUCCGUCCUCAAGGAAGCUAAUGCCGGUACUUGAGGCGGAAGCCCCGGCUAACUACGUGCCAGCAGCCGCGGUAAUAUGUCGGCGGCUAGCGUUAUCCGGAAUUUCUGGGCGUAAAGGGUGCGUAGGUGGUUUCUUAAGUCAGAGGUAAAAGGCUACGGCUCAACCGUAGUAAGCCGUUGAAACUGGGGAACUUGAGUGCAGGAGAGGAGAGUGGAAUGCGUAGUGUAGCGGUGAAAUGCGUAGAUAUUAGGCAGAACACCAAUUGCGAAGGCAGCACUCUGGAGUGGAACUGACACUGAGGCACGAAAGCGUGGGGAUCGAACAGGAUUAGAUACCCCUGUAGUC
RNAcentral lists this ribosomal RNA (439 nucleotides) under uncultured bacterium. RNAcentral describes it as "partial 16S ribosomal RNA". It matches the Rfam family "Bacterial small subunit ribosomal RNA", at positions 338 to 795 of the family's 1533-position model. The record is from RNAcentral.